Molecule: ribosomal RNA, 1330 nt
Filed under: uncultured bacterium
Lineage: Bacteria
Description: partial 16S ribosomal RNA
Rfam family: Bacterial small subunit ribosomal RNA
Source: RNAcentral
AGAGUUUGAUCCGGGUCAGGAUGAACGCUGGCGGCGUGCAUAACACAUUCUAGUCGUACGGGAAAUUCGGAGCUUGCUCCGGAUGGAUAGUGGCGGACGGGUGAGUAACGCGUGAGCUACCUGCCUGUGAUGUGUGGAAUAACACACAUAAAUUUGUGGUAAUACCGCAUAAAGUAUAAUAAUCGCAUGGUUAAGAUACCGGAGCUACGGUGCAUUGAGAUGGGCUCGCGUUGGAUUAGACAGUUGGUGUGGUAACGGCUCACCAAAUCAACGAUCCAUAGCCGGACUGAGAGGGUGAACGUCCACAUUGGAACUGAGAAACGGUCCACACUCCUACGGGAGGCAGCAGUGAGGAAUAUUGGGCAAUGGGCAAAAGCCUGACCCAGCGUCGCCGCGUGAGGGAAGAAGGUCUUCGGAUUGUGAACCUUAGUUAUCGGGGAAGAAGGAAGUGACGGUACCCGAAGAGAAAGCCACGGCUAAUUACGUGCCAGCAGCCGCGGUAAUACGUAGGUGGCAAGCGUUGUCCGGAUUUAUUGGGUGUAAAGGGUGUGUAGGCGGGACUGCAAUUCAGAUGUGAAUACUAUAGGUUUAACCUGUAGCCUGCUUUUGCAACUGCGGUUCUUGAUAGUCGGAGAGGUAAACGGAAUUCCUGGUGUAGCGGUGAAAUGCGUAGAUUUCAGGAGGAACACCGGUGGGGAAGGCGGUUUACUGGACGACAACUGACGUUGAGACACGAAAGCGUGGGGAGCAAACAGGAUUAGAUACCCUGGUAUUCCACCCUGUAAACGAUUAAAAAUGGGUGUAGGGGAGAAUAGUCUUUUGUUCCGCAGCUAACGCACUAAGCAUUCCUCCUGGGGAGUACGGCCGCAAGGUUGAAAGUCAAAUGAAUUGAGGGGAGCCCGCACAAGCAGUGGAGUAUGUGGUUUAAUUCGACUGCAACGCGAAGAGCCUUACCGAAACUUGACAUCUUGAGAAAGCAGAUGUAAUGUCAGCUGUGCCCUUCGGGGAGCUCAGAGACAGGUGGUGCAUGGUUGUCGUCAGGUGUUGUGGUGAGAUGUUGGGUUAAGUCCGGCAACGAGUGCUAUCCUUCCGGUUAGUUGUUAUGGAAAGAGCACUCUAUCCGGACUCCCGUUGACAAAUCGGAGGAAGGUGGGGACGACGUCAAAUCAUCAUGCCCUUUCCGUUUUGGGUGACACACGUAUUACAAGGGUGUAAACAAACGGAAGGGAACCCUCGAGGGGGAGCAAACCGGAAAAAAGACGUCCCAGUUCGGUCUGCAGGUUGCAAGUAGCGUGCCAGAAGUUGGAAUUGUUAGUAAUCGCAGAUCAGC